CUAUCACAGGGACUAAGCACCCUUCAGACUCUGCAGGUCCUGAAAAGUACAUCAAAUGUCGCUAGGAACCUAUACCGUCCUACCUCCACAAUUUACUCCGAAGUGACAGUUGGAGACGACCAGUGUGAGAAGCUAAAGCCAUCAGUAUGGGACUCAUCGAAACCAUCCGGAAGAGCUAAAGAAGUCAGACCUUACGAUCGGCAUGCUGGUCCCCGGGGUUACAAGGGUGUUAGGGACGUGGGGAAAUAUAAAGUUGAUGAGUGCAGAUUCUCAAAACUUUAGCUAAGGAUUUAACAAUGUGGAGGGGAUUAUUCUUUUAAUGUUGUGUAUUGUAUAAGACUCUAUGUAUACAACUGCUGGUAUACAACUGGUAUACAACUGCUGACGGUAAUCAAGAAACAAUGUUUCCGUGUUUUAUAAAAAUUUCGUCGGAGAGUUUAUAAUUAAUUACAAGAUCGUGAUCAUUUGUUCACUUCUGUCACACAGAGAAAACAAACAGCGCUCUUAUUUCACAGUAUACACUCACGGCUCACGCCGGGUGUAUUAUGUGGUCCCCCAGUUAACUAGAGUUUUUAAGAAAGUGUUGUUUACCACAUACAUAUUUACCGAUACAUUGAAUUCCUUCCAAGGAAAUCAAAACACCGCCUUUAUGUCUCGGCAACCUUCAUGAUAAGUACAAUACACUUCGUAAUAACUACAUUUUACUCGUUAUAUUACAGUUAUAUAAUGUAGUUUAUUUUUAUUAUCUCACAGUAAUUAACUGUGUGCCAUUGUUA
Molecule: long non-coding RNA, 776 nt
Organism: Bolinopsis microptera
Lineage: Eukaryota; Metazoa; Ctenophora; Tentaculata; Lobata; Bolinopsidae
Exons: 2
Source: RefSeq, a predicted model, not a curated record